AAGUCGUAACAAGGUUUCCGUAGGUGAACCUGCGGAAGGAUCAUUAUUGAAUACUCUUGAUGGGUUGUAGCUGGCUCUUCGGGGCAUGUGCACACUUGUCUUGACUUUAUUCAUCCACCUGUGCACCUUUUGUAGUCUUGUGGGUUGAGAGCAGUCGACUAUCGGAUGGCUAUGGCCUUUCCGGACGUGAGGAAUGCUGAGUGCGAAAGCAUACAGCUCUUCUCAAAUGACUUGCAAAACCUCUCCCUCAAGUACUAUGUAUUCAUAUACCACAUAGUAUGUUGUCGAAUGUGAUCAAUGGGCCUAUGUGCCUAUAAAAAUCAUAUACAACUUUCAGCAACGGAUCUCUUGGCUCUC
RNAcentral lists this unclassified non-coding RNA (357 nucleotides) under Bovistella utriformis. RNAcentral describes it as "Lycoperdon utriforme partial internal transcribed spacer region". The stretch from base 1 to 46 matches the Rfam family "Eukaryotic small subunit ribosomal RNA", at positions 1786 to 1831 of the family's 1831-position model. Lineage: Eukaryota; Fungi; Basidiomycota; Agaricomycetes; Agaricales; Lycoperdaceae. RNAcentral also lists the same sequence under 1 other name. The record is from RNAcentral.